AGUCGAGCGCCUCCCAGCCACGACGGAGGCGCGGCGCACAGCUCAGUAACACGUGGCUAACCUGCCCUCGGGACGGGAAUACCCCCGGGAAACUGGGGCUAAUCCUCGAUAGGUGAAGAACUCUGGAAUGAGUCUCCGCCCAAAAGACGCUUAAAUCAUGCUUUUAGGCGCCGCCCAAGGAUGGGGCCGCGACCGAUCAGGUAGUUGGUGAGGCAACGGCUCACCAAGCCUUUAACCGGUGCGGGCCGUGGGAGCGGGAGCCCGGAGAUGGGCACUGAGACAAGGGCCCAGGCCCUACGGGGCGCAGCAGUCGCGAAAACUUUGCAAUACACGAAAGUGUGACAGGGCUAUCCCGAGUGCCAUCCGCUGAGGAAGGCUUUUACCCAGUCUAGAAAGCUGGGAGAAUAAGGAGAGGGCAGGUCUGGUGUCAGCCGCCGCGGUAAUACCAGCUCUCCGAGUGGUGUGGAUGUUUAUUGGGCCUAAAGCAUCCGUAGCUGGCCAAGUUAGUCCCCUGUUAAAUCCACCGAAUUAAUCGUUGGUGUGCGGGGGAUACUGCUCGGCUAGGGGACGAGAGAGGCCGACGGUACUUUCGGGGUAGGGGUGAAAUCCUAUAAUCCCGAGAGGACCACCAGUGGCGAAGGCUGUCGGCUAGAACGCGCCCGACGGUGAGGGAUGAAAGCUGGGGGAGCGAACCGGAUUAGAUACCCGGGUAGUCCCAGCUGUAAACGAUGCAGGCUAGGUGUUUGGACGGCCACGUGCCGUUCUAGUGCCGCAGGGAAGCUGUUAAGUCUGCCGCCU
This 798-nucleotide ribosomal RNA is filed under the name uncultured archaeon. RNAcentral describes it as "bacterial SSU rRNA". It matches the Rfam family "Archaeal small subunit ribosomal RNA", at positions 56 to 829 of the family's 1478-position model. The record is from RNAcentral.